GAUGAACGCUGGCGGCGUGCCUAAUACAUGCAAGUCGAGCGAACAGACGAGGAGCUUGCUCCUCUGACGUUAGCGGCGGACGGGUGAGUAACACGUGGAUAACCUACCUAUAAGACUGGGAUAACUUCGGGAAACCGGAGCUAAUACCGGAUAAUAUGUUGAACCGCAUGGUUCAAUAGUGAAGGACGGUUUUGCUGUCACUUAUAGAUGGAUCCGCGCCGCAUUAGCUAGUUGGUAAGGUAACGGCUUACCAAGGCGACGAUGCGUAGCCGACCUGAGAGGGUGAUCGGCCACACUGGAACUGAGACACGGUCCAGACUCCUACGGGAGGCAGCAGUAGGGAAUCUUCCGCAAUGGGCGAAAGCCUGACGGAGCAACGCCGCGUGAGUGAUGAAGGUCUUCGGAUCGUAAAACUCUGUUAUUAGGGAAGAACAAAUGUGUAAGUAACUAUGCACGUCUUGACGGUACCUAAUCAGAAAGCCACGGCUAACUACGUG
Molecule: ribosomal RNA, 497 nt
Filed under: uncultured bacterium
Lineage: Bacteria
Description: partial 16S ribosomal RNA
Rfam family: Bacterial small subunit ribosomal RNA
Source: RNAcentral